Molecule: unclassified non-coding RNA, 341 nt
Filed under: soil metagenome
Description: partial contains 5.8S ribosomal RNA, internal transcribed spacer 2, and large subunit ribosomal RNA
Rfam family: 5.8S ribosomal RNA (bases 1-120)
Source: RNAcentral
GAUGAAGAACGCAGCGAAAUGCGAUAAGUAGUGUGAAUUGCAGAAUUCAGUGAAUCAUCGAAUCUUUGAACGCACAUUGCGCCCUUUGGUAUUCCUUAGGGCAUGCCUGUUCGAGCGUCAUUUAACCCCUCAAGCUCAGCUUGGUGUUGGGCGUCUUGUCUCUAGCUUUGCUGGAGACUCGCCUUAAAGUAAUUGGCAGCCGGCCUACUGGUUUCGGAGCGCAGCACAAGUCGCACUCUCUAUCAGCAAAGGUCUAGCAUCCAUUAAGCCUUUUUUUCAACUUUUGACCUCGGAUCAGGUAGGGAUACCCGCUGAACUUAAGCAUAUCAAUAAGCGGAGGA